GUCGGUUAUGGUGAUAUUUAUCCAGUUACCACAGCUGGUAAGAUUGUUGGAGGUGUUUGUUGUGUUUGUGGUGUACUUGUUGUUGCUCUGCCCAUUCCCAUUAUAGUCAACAAU
Regulatory RNA element from Tetranychus urticae (two-spotted spider mite), 114 nucleotides. It matches the Rfam family "Potassium channel RNA editing signal". From Rfam's summary of the family: This family represents a group of sequences related to the human potassium channel Kv1.1 hairpin element which directs the efficient modification of an adenosine to inosine by an adenosine deaminase acting on RNA (ADAR). The ADAR modification causes an isoleucine/valine recoding event which lies in the ion-conducting pore of the potassium channel. It is thought that this editing event targets the process of fast inactivation and allows a more rapid recovery from inactivation at negative potentials. The record is from Rfam. Lineage: Eukaryota; Metazoa; Arthropoda; Arachnida; Trombidiformes; Tetranychidae.